RNAcentral lists this non-coding RNA (114 nucleotides) under Paenibacillus sp. RNAcentral describes it as "TPP sequence". It matches the Rfam family "TPP riboswitch aptamer (THI element)". From Rfam's summary of the family: Vitamin B(1) in its active form thiamin pyrophosphate (TPP) is an essential coenzyme that is synthesised by coupling of pyrimidine and thiazole moieties in bacteria. The record is from RNAcentral. RNAcentral also lists the same sequence under 1 other name. Lineage: Bacteria; Bacillati; Bacillota; Bacilli; Caryophanales; Paenibacillaceae.
UCAUAUUAACAGGGGAGCUGGAAUAUGGCCGGCUGAGAGUGUAUCACGACAGGAUACUGACCCUUUCAACCUGAUCUGGGUAAUGCCAGCGUAGGAAGCUCAUGUGUACGGCUG